CAAAGUGCAAUGAAGAGAUCACAGUAGUGGUUAGUCUUACUGUAACAGAGAGCUGGUGGUUGGUGUGAACCAGUACAGGGAUAAUCAUGAAUUACAGUCUUGGAGCAUCUUUUUCGUAGUAAAGAUAGUAUUGUCUUUAUGAAGAAAAAGCGGUCAAUUGAUCGUUAACAGUGAAGAGAGGUAGACAGAAAUUUAGUCUACAACUAGGGUGGUACCGCGAUAAAUAUCGUCCCUACU
Molecule: regulatory RNA element, 237 nt
Organism: Bacillus anthracis str. 'Ames Ancestor'
Lineage: Bacteria; Bacillati; Bacillota; Bacilli; Caryophanales; Bacillaceae
Rfam family: T-box leader
About the family: Uncharged tRNA acts as the effector for transcription antitermination of genes in the T-box leader family. T-boxes are found upstream of many aminoacyl-tRNA synthetase genes and some amino acid biosynthetic genes usually in Gram-positive bacteria.
Source: Rfam